Molecule: small RNA, 75 nt
Filed under: Escherichia coli
Lineage: Bacteria; Pseudomonadati; Pseudomonadota; Gammaproteobacteria; Enterobacterales; Enterobacteriaceae
Description: isrK
Rfam family: isrK Hfq binding RNA
Source: RNAcentral
ACAACCGCAAAAUCGGUUGUCGGGAUUGGCGUCCCGGAUAACAUCACAACGCAUAGCCGCGUUUGCGGUUUUUUU